UUAAAUUGAAGAGUUUGAUCAUGGCUCAGAUUGAACGCUGGCGGCAGGCCUAACACAUGCAAGUCGAACGGUAACAGGAAGCAGCUUGCUGCUUCGCUGACGAGUGGCGGACGGGUGAGUAAUGUCUGGGAAACUGCCUGAUGGAGGGGGAUAACUACUGGAAACGGUGGCUAAUACCGCAUAACGUCGCAAGACCAAAGAGGGGGACCUUCGGGCCUCUUGCCAUCAGAU
Molecule: ribosomal RNA, 231 nt
Filed under: Salmonella enterica subsp. enterica serovar Typhimurium var. 5-
Lineage: Bacteria; Pseudomonadati; Pseudomonadota; Gammaproteobacteria; Enterobacterales; Enterobacteriaceae
Description: partial 16S ribosomal RNA
Rfam family: Bacterial small subunit ribosomal RNA
Source: RNAcentral